CCACCCUCUGCUGGAGGAAAGAGAACCUGUUUCUGUGGGUCUACUUUUUUGUACAUCAACAAAAAUCUAAUCUAUUUCACUGACUUCACCAACUGCAUGUGUGGUUCCUCUUGAGCGUGCAAAAUAACUCCUGUGUCCGUAUCCUGAACCCUCUUCGGAAUAAACCUUCUUUAUUUGCUUUAGUUCCAUAAAGAACCUUUUCACUGGACAUGAGGCUCUUUAUAGCGGAAGGAAGGUUCUUUAGAUUGAAAUGUUCUUAACUUAAACACAAAGGUUCCAAAAACAGGUUUGCAGGUUCUUCAAAUAACCUUUUGUGCAAUGUAAAGUUUCCACUGUUGUUAAACAUUCUUCACAGAAACGUCAAUGCUAAUAAAGAACCUGAUAUGUUUUUUAAAGGUUAUUUUAAAGGAAUAGUUAACCAAAUAUUAAAAUGUGCUAAAAAAAAAAAAAAAGUGCCUCGCCCUCUGGUCAUCCAAAAUUAGGAUGAGUUUGUUUCUUCAUCAGAUUUAGAGAAAUGUAGCAUUGCAUCAGUGUCUCAUCAGUGGAUGCUCUGCAGUGAAUGGGUGCCGUCAGAAUGAGAGUACAAACAGCUGAUAAAAACAUCACAAUAAUCCACACCACUCCAUUUUAAUAAUAUAUAGCGUCAUAUUGUUAACUUUCUUAGCAUUUCUAAAAAAAUAAAUGAAAUGUUCUUUUGGUUUCUUGCCACAGUUUGUUACUAUUUUGACUUGAAGAGCAGUUAUGAUUUGGUUGCACCCACACACACACACACACACACACACACACAAUAUAACACCUCAUGUCUCUCUCACACACUUCGAAAGCACAAGAGAGAGAGAGAUGGGGGAUGGGUGUCAUUGAAGACCAGAAGCAGAGAGGAAGGCUGAUGUUGUAAAACACAAGACUACAUGAUUAUUAUUAGUAUUAUUGUGUGUAAGCAGAAGGACACGGUCAUGCACCAUCUCUCUGCAAAGCUUUUAUUUUGCCAUUUUUUGUGUAUUUUCCUGAGAUCAUGUUGUAGACUGCCCGGUGAGGAUGCAGGUAAACACAUGAGCAAGGACAGAGACAUACAGUGAGAAAAAUGCAGCAUUCAUUCAUUCUACAGCACACAUGAGGAUGCUGGAGCCACGUGUGAGGUUGUCACCGAGCUCUGACCAGAUGUCAACAAUCCCAUGCUGCACUGCUCACAGAAUGGACUCCCAACGGUGAUGGCAAAGAGGAAUGGUCAGAGGAGCAAUGGGAGAAAUGGUUGACCCAUGACAUAUGCUUGGAUGGAUUUGAAGAUGAGGACCUGUCUGAAAUCACAGAAAUCAAAGAUGAAUUUGUACUGAGGUCUAGGCGCGAUGACUCUGACAUCAAGAUGACAAAAGAUCUUGCUUAACAUGACACUUUAAACAACAACUCAUUUGUGAAGAAGUACAGCUGGCAGCAGAAAAUCUCCCAGACCUUGCUGCCCCUUAAAACAGGUGAGCUGGCUCCUUCUCGUGAACACGUGUCUGAGCGACGAGGAGAAGCACCAGCCGGGACAGAGUCAGACUCAAAUGAAAGACUGCGGCACAUCGACUGACAAACCCAGGAGAGGGUUUGUUGGGAACGCUGCAGACUUCCAUGAGCAACUCGGACGUGAGCAAACUUUCGUACGAUUCGGUCAAAUACACGCUGGUGGUGGACGAGCACGAUCAGCUGGAGCUCGUCAGCUUGAAAGAGUGUUAUCACGGAUACAGUGAUGACAGCGACUCGGCCACCGUCUACGAUAACCAUGUCUCCUCUCCAUACGAGGAUGAGGAGGAUGAAGACAGGGGAAGAAAACAAAGCGGGAUCAAACAGAGUCUGUCAGAGGACUCCACACCUGAAGCCGACAUGCAGUUUGCUCUGAAAUUUGUUAACGUUUUCAUGAACGGCUGCUCACGCUCUUCCAUUAA
Molecule: long non-coding RNA, 1922 nt
Organism: Carassius gibelio (silver crucian carp)
Lineage: Eukaryota; Metazoa; Chordata; Actinopteri; Cypriniformes; Cyprinidae
Exons: 4
Source: RefSeq, a predicted model, not a curated record